GAGAAGUAGCUUGCUACUUCGGCGUCGAGCGGCGGACGGGUGAGUAAUGCCUGGGAAAUUGCCUUGAUGUGGGGGAUAACCAUUGGAAACGAUGGCUAAUACCGCAUAAUGCUUUUGUUUGUAAUGAACGGAAGCCAAAGAGGGGGACCUUCGGGCCUCUCGCGUCAAGAUAUGCCCAGGUGGGAUUAGCUAGUUGGUGAGGUAAUGGCUCACCAAGGCGACGAUCCCUAGCUGGUCUGAGAGGAUGAUCAGCCACACUGGAACUGAGACACGGUCCAGACUCCUACGGGAGGCAGCAGUGGGGAAUAUUGCACAAUGGGCGCAAGCCUGAUGCAGCCAUGCCGCGUGUAUGAAGAAGGCCUUCGGGUUGUAAAGUACUUUCAGCAGUGAGGAAGGUGGAUGUGUUAAUAGCGCAUUCAUUUGACGUUAGCUGCAGAAGAAGCACCGGCUAACUCCGUGCCAGCAGCCGCGGUAAUACGGAGGGUGCGAGCGUUAAUCGGAAUUACUGGGCGUAAAGCGCAUGCAGGUGGAUGAUUAAGUCAGAUGUGAAAGCCCGGGGCUCAACCUCGGAAUAGCAUUUGAAACUGGUCAUCUAGAGUACUGUAGAGGGGGGUAGAAUUUCAGGUGUAGCGGUGAAAUGCGUAGAGAUCUGAAGGAAUACCAGUGGCGAAGGCGGCCCCCUGGACAGAUACUGACACUCAGAUGCGAAAGCGUGGGGAGCAAACAGGAUUAGAUACCCUGGUAGUCCACGCCGUAAACGAUGUCUACUUGGAGGUUGUGGCCUUGAGCCGUGGCUUUCGGAGCUAACGCGUUAAGUAGACCGCCUGGGGAGUACGGUCGCAAGAUUAAAACUCAAAUGAAUUGACGGGGGCCCGCACAAGCGGUGGAGCAUGUGGUUUAAUUCGAUGCAACGCGAAGAACCUUACCUACUCUUGACAUCCAGAGAAGCCAGCGGAGACGCAGGUGUGCCUUCGGGAGCUCUGAGACAGGUGCUGCAUGGCUGUCGUCAGCUCGUGUUGUGAAAUGUUGGGUUAAGUCCCGCAACGAGCGCAACCCUUAUCCUUGUUUGCCAGCGAGUAAUGUCGGGAACUCCAGGGAAACUGCCGGUGAUAAACCGGAGGAAGG
This 1125-nucleotide ribosomal RNA is filed under the name Vibrio sp. RNAcentral describes it as "bacterial SSU rRNA". It matches the Rfam family "Bacterial small subunit ribosomal RNA", at positions 70 to 1173 of the family's 1533-position model. The record is from RNAcentral. Lineage: Bacteria; Pseudomonadati; Pseudomonadota; Gammaproteobacteria; Vibrionales; Vibrionaceae.